Molecule: non-coding RNA, 847 nt
Organism: Pelodiscus sinensis (Chinese soft-shelled turtle)
Lineage: Eukaryota; Metazoa; Chordata; Testudines; Trionychidae
Source: RefSeq, a predicted model, not a curated record
UUUGCAUCAUCUGAAGUCGGACUCUCAGACAAAGCAUAUUACAUCAUGUUAAUAUGUAAACGUGUUGCUUAAAAUUAACUUUACAAGGAAAUAUACUAAAAUGUCUGAUCCUGAAAAGUGCUGAACAUCUUGUAUGAGGCUAAUCUCUUUGAACCUCUCUGAUGCCAAUGGAAGUGAAAGACAGCAGCGAGCCUUCAACACCAAGACUGGGACCUAGAUAAGUCAAGAUCACACUUAGUGGGAUUUAUCCCCUCUCUCUGUCCUAGCAUUUAGACCACAUUUUCCAACCAUCUGCAUCUCCAAUUAAUUUCAAUCUCAUAAUCUGUCUCAAUGUAUGUAAAAGGAAAUUAAAACGCAACAUACUUAGUUAGGCGAUGCUCAUACUAAAGAGAUGGGCAUGAGUCUAAAACCAUAUGUUAGACUGAAAUUCAUAAAAAUUGUCCUUAAUUUCCUGAGAAAUUUAAGACCCGUUAAAGGUUCAGAGAAGACUUGAUUACAAUCAAAAUACCUACUGGCAGAACAACAAUUUAAUCAUGGACUCUUCACUUUAUCAAAAAAAGAUAUAACAUGAUCCAGUGUCUGGAAGCUGAAGCUAGACAAAUUCAGUUUGGAUAAAACUUAUGAGGAAAGCAGAAAGGAGAGUCAAAGGGACAAAACCAAGGGAGAACAUAGACUUACAAAAGUAGAAGAAGAACUCAUGGACAGAUGGACGGACACUCAGACAGACAGGUGCACAAACUUUCCAAAAUAUAUAAUUGGUAAUGAACUGUAGGGGCUCACCCAGGAUAAGGUAGAGCCAUGACCAGAGAAACAGAAGUGGAGAAAUUUAUGCUAGUACUGUCCAAGC